Molecule: long non-coding RNA, 581 nt
Organism: Homo sapiens (human)
Lineage: Eukaryota; Metazoa; Chordata; Mammalia; Primates; Hominidae
Source: Ensembl
AAAACAAAGAAGGUUUUCACAGAUUGGAAGAAAGAAUCUGAAUUUGGAGAUGACUUGGUCAUGCAAAAUCUUUCAACAAGGAUAUUGUGAUCACUUCUAGGUCACAAAUUACAGUCAGCCUACCAGCAUCAUCCUCCCUUCUUCUUCCGGGAAAGAACCAGCACUCAAUGAAGGCACAAUGGCAUCAUGUUGUAUUUGGGAAUUAUUCUGCUUUUCUUUAGUAGUUGUGAUAAUCUCAUACCUUAGAUGUAUGUUUUUUACAUAAAAACAUUCCUGGAUACACAAGCCUGUAUAUUCUGUCUUCCCUGCAUUUAUUCUGCUUAGCCCUUCUGUUCUCCUUGCUGUUCCUUGAAUUCACUGAACACAUUCCCACUUUAGCACCAUCUGCUCUUCUACUGCUUAGGACUUUCUCUCUCCGCGUACUGAUGCUUCAUCUCAGUUCUCUGCUCAUUUGAUGCUAGUCAGAGAGGUCUUCCUGACUACCCUGUGUAUGUAGAGAGGAGUAUGGCACUUCUAUGUCACUUUUCCCUUUAUUUUUCUUUACAGCACCUAUCACUAACUGACAAGUUAUACAUGUGCAU